AAACCCAUUCCCCAGAUACCAUGAUCACAAAGGUGGUUUUCCCAGAGCGAGGUUUAUCCAUUGUACUCAGAAUGUGCUGACCGCUGUGAUUUCCCCAAAUGUGGGGAAAUCGCCGGCAUAAUUUCUAGCCGUGGGUGACUGUGUUCAUGCUCUCCCCUG
Small nuclear RNA from Pteronotus mesoamericanus, 159 nucleotides. RefSeq annotates it as U1 spliceosomal RNA. The transcript has a single exon. The record is from RefSeq and is a predicted model, not a curated record. NCBI's taxonomy places the organism in Eukaryota, Metazoa, Chordata, Mammalia, Chiroptera, Mormoopidae.